CAGCACCUCAAGUGGUCAGGAUGAUUAUUGGGCCUAAAGCAUCCGUAGCCGGCGCUGUAAGUUUUCGGUUAAAUCUGUACGCUCAACGUACAGGCUGCCGGGAAUACUGCAGCGCUAGGGAGUGGGAGAGGUAGACGGUACUCGGUAGGAAGGGGUAAAAUCCUUUGAUCUAUUGAUGACCACCUGUGGCGAAGGCGGUCUACCAGAACACGUCCGACGGUGAGGGAUGAAAGCUGGGGGAGCAAACCGGAUUAGAUACCCGCGUAGUC
RNAcentral lists this ribosomal RNA (269 nucleotides) under uncultured archaeon. RNAcentral's name for it is "partial 16S ribosomal RNA". It matches the Rfam family "Archaeal small subunit ribosomal RNA", at positions 477 to 746 of the family's 1478-position model. The record is from RNAcentral.